AGAAAAUUAGUUAAAAAAUAACGUUAAUUUGUCAAAUUAAAGUUACAUUAGUAUUUUCUG
This 60-nucleotide transfer RNA is filed under the name Pseudoniphargus morenoi. RNAcentral describes it as "tRNA-Asp". Lineage: Eukaryota; Metazoa; Arthropoda; Malacostraca; Amphipoda; Allocrangonyctidae. The record is from RNAcentral.